GGAGAGCAGAAUAAUGUACUUAUUUCCGUAAUUCUGAGGAUCGGGUGAACAUUUUAUCAUUUGUAUCAUAUAGUAACAAAAUACGACUAACAUAUAAUUACUGCACGAAUAUACCAGAAGAGUUUCACAGUUUAAUUAAAAGAAACACCGGAAGUAAAGAGGGAAGCAGGAAGGUCUCCUCAGCUUGGACAAGAACGUUCAAGAGUAGGAUAUAGGGGAAA
Saccostrea cuccullata (small rock oyster) is the source of this 221-nucleotide long non-coding RNA. RefSeq lists it as uncharacterized. The record is from RefSeq and is a predicted model, not a curated record. The transcript is spliced from 2 exons. Lineage: Eukaryota; Metazoa; Mollusca; Bivalvia; Ostreida; Ostreidae.